UUCUGCUGUAUUUUUCUAGAUCUGUUGUUUAACGAAAGUAUAUUCACUCCCAUCCAACAUUGUACCACCGGGAGUUUGUCACAAUGCAAGGACAGCAGUCAAUGCAUCCUGAAGCCCCUCAAGCUCCAAGAAUCCAACAUACUGUUUUAGUGGAACAGCCUCUACCCAGGGAUGACAUUGUCUGGUCGCUUUGGAGCCUUACACACUUCAACCCAUGCUGUCUUGGAUUGUUAGCAGUGUUUUAUUCCAUAAAGUCCAGGGAUAACAAGAUGGUUGGAGACUUGGACGGAGCAAGAAAACACUGGGAGAUUGCACGUCGCUUCAACAUUGCGUCCCUGACCCUGGCAGUAAUUCUGACCAUUGUGCUGAUUAUUGUAUAUAGCAAAGCAAUACAGACACAAAAGUAGGAUCAACACACUGUUGUUAAUUGAUGUUUUUAACUGAUGCGCCAAUGUCACUGACCAGGGAGAUGGACGAGUAUUACUAAUGAGUCCAGCAAUCAAAGUUAAUUUGUGUGGUGUCCAGUUGGAAAUUACACCAUAGACUUCAGCCUUAAACCUUUAGCCUUGUGUUAUUUCUAUUUUGAUUUUGUAACAUUUAAAGAAUUGUCAGGUGGAUUUAAGUUUCUCUAUGUGAAUUCAGUGUGUCUUCAUUUAAAAAACAGUAUGUUCCAGUCUUUUAUUUUCAUUUUGGAGUUGGUCCAAAUAUGACAUUUCUUCUGGCUUUAUACAUUUGAUCUAACCUCUUACACAAUCACAUACAUCUGUAAUUCCUUUAGCACUGGGUACAAUAUGUUCUUUGCACUACUUCAGUUCUGUGUUUCACAAACUAUACAUUUUCAUGUGUCAUACAUGUUUUUCCUUCUUAAAAAAACAACUAUAAUAAAAACAGUCAAGGUAAACUUG
Long non-coding RNA from Esox lucius (northern pike), 905 nucleotides. RefSeq lists it as uncharacterized. The transcript has 2 exons. The record is from RefSeq and is a predicted model, not a curated record. Lineage: Eukaryota; Metazoa; Chordata; Actinopteri; Esociformes; Esocidae.